AUGGGGUCGUUGCCGCCGGCGGGCGAGAGGCCGCACGCCGUGAUGAUGCCGUACCCGGCGCAGGGCCACGUGACGCCGAUGCUGAAGCUGGCCAAGCUGCUCCACACCAGGGGCUUCCACAUCACCUUCGUGAACAACGAGUUCAACCACCUCCGCCUGCUGGGCGCGCAGCAGUCGCAGGCCGCCGUGGACAGGCUCUGCAGCCUGCCGGGGUUCCGCUUCGCCACCAUCGCCGACGGCCUUCCGUCGUCCGACCUCGAGGCCUCGCGGGACACGCCCGCGCUGAUCUACUCCACCAUGACCACCUGCCGUCCCAGGUUCAAGGAGCUCGUCGUCAAUCUCAACGAGGAGGCUGAGGCCUCCGGUGGCGCCCUGCCGCCUGUCACCUGCGUGGUGGCCGAUAGCAUCACGAGCUUCGCCAUUAGCGUGGCGCGUGAGCUCGGCCUCCGCUGCGCCGUGCUCUGGACCGCCAGCGCCUGUGGUUUCAUGGGCUACUACCACUACAAGGAUCUACUCGACCGUGGACUCGUCCCUCUCAAAGAAGAGGCUCAGUUGCGCAAUGGAUACUUGGACACGAUCAUCGACUGGAUACCGGCGAUGCCCAAGGACCUGCGGCUGCGUGACCUCCCGAGCUAUUUGCGCACCGUGGACCCUGACGACAUCAUGUUCAACUUCUUCAUCCACGAGGUACCCGCCAUGUCGCAGGCGUCGGCGGUGGUCAUCAACACCUGGGACGAACUCGACGCGCCCUUGCUUGAUGCCAUGUCCAAGCUCCUGCCGCCCAUCUACACAGCGGGGCCACUCCAUUUGACGGCUCGCAACAAUGUGCCGGAGGAGAGCCCCGUCUCCGGCGUUGGGUCCAACCUGUGGAAGGAGCAGGACGCUCCCCUCCGGUGGCUCGACGGCCGGCCGCCGCGCUCCGUGGUGCACGUCAAUUUCGGGAGCACCACGGUGAUGUCCAAGGAGCAUAUGCUGGAGUUCGCGUGGGGGCUCGCCAACACUGGUUACGCCUUCCUAUGGAACGUGCGGCCUGACCUUGUCAAGGGCGACGUCAAGGCCGCACUUCCGCCGGAGUUCUAUGCGGCAACUGAGGGGCGGAGCAUGUUGUCGACAUGGUGCCCGCAGCAGGAGGUGCUGGAGCACGAGGCCGUAGGGGUGUUCCUCACGCACUCUGGCUGGAACUCGUCGCUGGAGGGCAUCUGCGGCGGCGUGCCGAUGGUGUGCUGGCCCUUCUUCGCGGAGCAGCAGACCAACUGCCGUUUCAAGUGUACGGAGUGGGGCAUCGGGAUGGAGAUUGGGGACGACGUGAGGAGGACCGAGGUGGAGGCCAUGAUACGGGAGGCCAUGGAGGGGGAGCAGGGGCGGGAGAUGCGGCGACGCGUGUUGGAGCUUCGCCAGAGCGCUGUGGCCUCCUCACGGCGUGACGGAAGGUCCAUGCGCAAUGUUGAUAGGCUCAUCAAAGAGGUGCUUCUGGCUUAA
This 1479-nucleotide ribosomal RNA is filed under the name Triticum aestivum (bread wheat). RNAcentral describes it as "partial small subunit ribosomal RNA". The record is from RNAcentral. Lineage: Eukaryota; Viridiplantae; Streptophyta; Magnoliopsida; Poales; Poaceae.